AGAGGGGCGGUAACUAUACAUUCAGGAAGAGGUCCAUGGACUGUAAACUCUGCUAGCUUGCUAGGUGAAUCCGAUGGAAAAAUAACUCCGUUUGAUCGUUAAAUCGUCGUUAACCAUGUCUGCAAGAAACCCGGGCAUGCCCCUUGACCUGGAAUGGGUGUCCAAGGUGCGGGUGAACACCCAGGCAGUGCUGAAGAGAGCUCAGCAGAUCCAAGGACGCAAUAAGAACAAGAAACAGUGGCAGGCGGCGUGGCUGCUGCGGGCGGUGACCUGUAUUGACCUGACGACCCUGGCCGGUGACGACACGCCCGGCAACAUCCACCGGCUGUGUAUGAAGGCGACCCAGCCGGUACGCUACGACCUGCUGAAGAGCAUGGACAUGCAGGACGAAGGUGUGACUACUGCAGCGGUGUGCGUGUACCCAUCUCGUGUGGCUGAUGCUGUGAAGUCACUGAAAGCAGCCAACUCCAGCCUACCUGUCGCCUCAGUGGCGACCGGUUUCCCUGCAGGCCAGACCUCUCUGAAGACCAGGCUGGAGGAGGUCCGUAUGGCUGUAGAGGAUGGAGCUAUGGAGAUAGAUAUAGUCAUUAACAGGACUCUGGCUCUCACUGGCCAGUGGGAAGCCAUGUAUGAUGAGGUGUGUCAGUUCAGAGAGGCCUGUGGGGAGGCUCACAUGAAGUCCAUCCUGGCUAUAGGAGAGCUGGGGACCUACACCAAUGUCUACAAGGCUAGUCUGGUGGCUAUGAUGGCUGGGUCGGACUUCAUCAAGACGUCAACAGGGAAGGAGUCUGUCAACGCUACCUACCCUGUCGCCAUAGUGAUGGUCAGAGCCAUCCGGGACUACUUCCUGAAGACUGGACAUAAGGUUGGUUUUAAGCCUGCUGGUGGGAUCCGUACAGCCAAGGAGUCGCUGGUGUGGCUGACUCUGAUGAAGGAAGAGCUGGGAGACGAGUGGCUGAGCCCUCGCCUCUUUAGACUGGGGGCUAGUAGCCUGCUGGCUGACAUAGAGAGACAGGUAUACACACACACACACACACCUUCCAACACACGUCCCAUAACGUGACCGAUUAGUGCUGAGCCCUCGCCUCUUUAGACUGGGGGCUAGUAGCCUGCUGGCUGACAUAGAGAGACAGGUAUACACACACACACACACACACACACACACACACCUUCCAACACACGUCCCAUAACGUGACCGAUUAGUGCUGAGCCCUCGCCUCUUUAGACUGGGGGCUAGUAGCCUGCUGGCUGACAUAGAGAGACAGAUCUACCAUCACGUGACUGGUCGCUACGCAGCCUAUCACCAGAUGCCCAUGGCCUGAAACCACGGUUACCAUUUACCAAGUGACCAAUCCGAAACCUCACCCGAACCAGCCUAUCGCUGUGCAGGUUUCUUACAGGUUACCUGGAAGAAAUGUCUGUUGUUGGACUUGUCAGGAAUGUGUUAAUUUGAGAUGAUGACCAGAUCAGGUGAAGAAAAGAGAGAGCCUGCCAUUUUACUGUGUACAGUACUACUGGUAUAUCUGAUAUUUUACUGUGUACAGUACUACUAGUACAUCUGAUAUUUUACUGUGUACAGUACUACUAGUAUAUCUGUCAUUUUACUGUGUACAGUACUACUAGUACAUCUGAUAUUUUACUGUGUACAGUACUACUAGUAUAUCUGAUAUUUUACUGUGUACAGUACUACUAGUAUAUCUGAUAUUUUACUGUGUACAGUACUACUGGUAUAUUUUACUGUGUACAGUACUACUGGUAUAUUUUACUGUGUACAGUACUACUAGUAUAUCUGUCAUUUUACUGUGUACAGUACUACUAGUAUAUCUGACAUUUUACUGUGUACAGUACUACUAGUAUAUCUGAUAUUUUACUGUGUACAGUACUACUAGUAUAUCUGAUAUUUUACUGUGUACAGUACUACUAGUAUAUCUGAUAUUUUACUGUGUACAGUACUACUGGUAUAUUUUACUGUGUACAGUACUACUAGUAUAUCUGACAUUUUACUGUGUACAGUACUACUAGUAUAUCUGAUAUUUUACUGUGUACAGUACUACUAGUAUAUUUUACUGUGUACAGUACUACUGGUAUAUUUUACUGUGUACAGUACUACUAGUAUAUUUUACUGUGUACAGUACUACUGGUAUAUUUUACUGUGUACAGUACUACUAGUAUAUCUGUCAUUUUACUGUGUACAGUACUACUAGUAUAUCUGACAUUUUACUGUGUACAGUACUACUAGUAUAUCUGAUAUUUUACUGUGUACAGUACUACUAGUAUAUCUGACAUUUUACUGUGUACAGUACUACUGGUAUAUCUGAUAUUUUACUGUGUACAGUACUACUAGUAUAUCUAACAUUUUACUGUGUACAGUACUACUAGUAUAUCUGUCAUUUUACUGUGUACAGUACUACUGGUAUAUCUGAUAUUUUACUGUGUACAGUACUACUAGUAUAUCUAACAUUUUACUGUGUACAGUACUACUAGUAUAUUUUACUGUGUACAGUACUGCUAGUAUAUCUGAUAUUUUACUGUGUACAGUACUACUAGUAUAUCUGAUAUUUUACUGUGUACAGUACUACUGGUAUAUCUAACAUUUACUGUGUACAGUACUACUGGUAUAUUUUACUGUGUACAGUACUACUAGUAUAUCUGACAUUUUACUGUGUACAGUACUACUGGUAUAUCUAACAUUUACUGUGUACAGUACUACUGGUAUAUUUUACUGUGUACAGUACUACUAGUAUAUCUGACAUUUUACUGUGUACAGUACUACUAGUAUAUCUGAUAUUUUCCUGUGUACAGUACUACUAGUAUAUCUGACAUUUUACUGUGUACAGUACUACUAGUAUAUCUGAUAUUUUCCUGUGUACAGUACUACUAGUAUAUCUGACAUUUUACUGUGUACAGUACUACUAGUAUAUCUGAUAUUUUCCUGUGUACAGUACUACUAGUAUAUCUGAUAUUUUACUGUGUACAGUACUACUAGUAUAUCUGAUAUUUUACUGUGUACAGUACUACUAGUAUAUUUUACUGUGUACAGUACUACUGGUAUAUUUUACUGUGUACAGUACUACUAGUAUAUUUUACUGUGUACAGUACUACUGGUAUAUUUUACUGUGUACAGUACUACUAGUAUAUCUGUCAUUUUACUGUGUACAGUACUACUAGUAUAUCUGACAUUUUACUGUGUACAGUACUACUAGUAUAUCUGAUAUUUUACUGUGUACAGUACUACUAGUAUAUCUGUCAUUUUACUGUGUACAGUACUACUGGUAUAUCUGAUAUUUUACUGUGUACAGUACUACUAGUAUAUCUAACAUUUUACUGUGUACAGUACUACUAGUAUAUUUUACUGUGUACAGUACUGCUAGUAUAUCUGAUAUUUUACUGUGUACAGUACUACUAGUAUAUCUGAUAUUUUACUGUGUACAGUACUACUGGUAUAUCUAACAUUUACUGUGUACAGUACUACUGGUAUAUUUUACUGUGUACAGUACUACUAGUAUAUCUGACAUUUUACUGUGUACAGUACUACUGGUAUAUUUUACUGUGUACAGUACUACUAGUAUAUCUGAUAUUUUACUGUGUACAGUACUACUAGUAUAUCUGAUAUUUUACUGUGUACAGUACUACUGGUAUAUUUUACUGUGUACAGUACUACUAGUAUAUCUGAUAUUUUACUGUGUACAGUACUACUAGUAUAUCUGUCAUUUUACUGUGUACAGUACUACUAGUAUAUCUGAUAUUUUACUGUGUACAAUACUUCUGGUAUAUUUUACUGUGUACAGUACUACUGGUAUAUUUUACUGUGUACAGUACUACUGGUAUAUUUUACUGUGUACAGUACUACUAGUAUAUCUGAUAUUUUACUGUGUACAGUACUACUGGUAUAUCUGAUAUUUUACUGUGUACAGUACUACUAGUAUAUCUGAUAUUUUACUGUGUACAGUACUACUAGUAUAUCUGAUAUUUUACUGUGUACAGUACUACUAGUAUAUCUAAUAUUUUACUGUGUACAGUACUACUGGUAUAUUUUACUGUGUACAGUACUACUAGUAUAUCUGAUAUUUUACUGUGUACAGUACUACUAGUAUAUCUGACAUUUUACUGUGUACAGUACUACUAGUAUAUCUGUCAUUUUACUGUGUACAGUACUACUAGUAUAUCUGAUAUUUUACUGUGUACAAUACUUCUGGUAUAUUUUACUGUGUACAGUACUACUAGUAUAUCUGACAUUUUACUGUGUACAGUACUACUAGUAUAUCUGUCAUUUUACUGUGUACAGUACUACUAGUAUAUCUGUCAUUUUACUGUGUACAGUACUACUAGUAUAUCUGUCAUUUUACUGUGUACAGUACUACUAGUAUAUCUGAUAUUUUACUGUGUACAGUACUACUGGUAUAUCUGUCAUUUUACUGUGUACAGUACUACUGGUAUAUCUGUCAUUUUACUGUGUACAGUACUACUAGUAUAUCUGACAUUUUACUGUGUACAGUACUACUAGUAUAUCUGACAUUUUACUGUGUACAGUACUACUAGUAUAUCUGAUAUUUUACUGUGUACAGUACUACUAGUAUAUCUGAUAUUUUACUGUGUACAGUACUACUAGUAUAUUUUACUGUGUACAGUACUACUGGUAUAUCUGAUAUUUUACUGUGUACAGUACUACUAGUAUAUCUGAUAUUUUACUGUGUACAGUACUACUAGUAUAUUUUACUGUGUACAGUACUACUAGUAUAUCUGAUAUUUUACUGUGUACAGUACUACUAGUAUAUCUGAUAUUUUACUGUGUACAGUACUACUAGUAUAUCUGACGUUUUACUGUGUACCAGACAUACAAUACUGCUGGUAUAUCUGCCUCUUUGUGCCUUGAGACAGCUCAGCCAGUGUGGUUUCAUCUAGUCCCCAUCCAAACAAUGUGAAACUAUGACGGUGAAUGAAUUGAGUGUUGAUGAGUCAGUUUCAAUGAACCACUUUAAAUUGUAGUUGUUUUUGAGAGUACUAUAUUAUAGCCGAUAUAAAACUCUUAAUUCAGUAUUUCUAUUGUCGUUGUCGUUGUAAUGAAAGGUUGCCACCCAUUCUAAUCAUGUCUGGUCUGGACAUUUUGUUGGGAGAUGUUGAAGUGUGAUUAAAGAGCAUCAAACAUUAUCGAUUGUUAUUCACAUGAGAUGAAGUCAGGAAACCGUAUUGUGCAUUAGGUUCUCACAAAAUGGAGAUUGGUCUUUGGAGCUCUGACCUACAGCUCUGACCUACAGCUGUGACCGACAGCUCUGACCGACAGCUCUGACCGACAGCUCUGGCCGACAGCUCUGACCGACAGCUCUGGCCGACAGCUCUGACCGACAGCUCUGACCUACAGCUCUGACCGACAGCUCUGACCGACAGCUCUGACCGACAGCUCUGACCUACAGCUCUGACCGACAGCUCUGACCAAACAGCUCUGACCUACAGCUCUGACCUACAGCUCUGACCUACAGCUCUGACCUACAGCUCUGACCAACAUCUCUGACCAACAUCUCUGACCAACAGCUCUGACCUACAGCUCUGACCUAACAGCUCUGACCUAACAGCUCUGACCUAACAGCUCUGACCUAACAGCUCUGACCAAACAGCUCUGACCUAACAGCUCUGACCUAACAGCUCUGACCUAACAGCUUUGACCUAACAGCUCUGACCUAACAGCUCUGACCUAACAGCUCUGACCUAACAGCUCUGACCUAACAGCUCUGACCUAACAGCUCUGACCUAACAGCUCUGACCUAACAGCUCUGACCCAACAGCUCUGAUUAACAGGGUAACUGUAAUACACCACUAGAGUUUCUCUCUCUGAGCACGUGGUCGAUAUUAACGGACGAACCGCUUUAGGGCCUGUGUGCCCUUUAUCACGGUAUCUCCACUAUAUAAUCAGCUCAGUCUAUUCAUGUGAACAGUGUUGAUGAGUCAGUUUCAAUGAACCACUUUAAAUUGUAGUUGUUUUUGAGAGUACUAUAUUAUAGACGAUAUAAAACUCUUAAUUCGGUAUUUCUAUUGUCGCUGUCGUUGUAAUGAAAGGUUGCCACCCAUUCUAAUCAUGUCUUGUCUGGACAUUUUGUUGGGAGAUGUUGAAGUGUGAUUAAAGACCAUCAAACAUUA
Molecule: RNA transcript, 6132 nt
Organism: Oncorhynchus masou masou (cherry salmon)
Lineage: Eukaryota; Metazoa; Chordata; Actinopteri; Salmoniformes; Salmonidae
Gene name: deoxyribose-phosphate aldolase-like
Exons: 9
Source: RefSeq, a predicted model, not a curated record